GGAAUCUUAGGCACAGAACUGAGACAUCUUAGGUCUGUGGAUGAAAAGUCUCAAGGAAUAUUUGGGAUGAGGUUGGCUGUGAAGCUUAACUAAUGUUUGUUUACUGCUUUGAGAUACUUAGCAGAAGGACACUACAGAAAUACAAACCAUUUUUAAGGUAAACCUCCUAAGAAAAUAAAUGGAAGUCGAAGGCCUUGAAGACUGCUAAUCAGAGCAGAGAGAUGAAUGCAUGAAUUCUCCUCCUUCUAUCUCAGGGAGGGCAAGUGGGAGCCAAUCUUGAUGCAGGAUUUUUGCACCAAGUUCUUCCUCCUUCUGAAGGACAAGCAGAUUUUUUUUUCUUGCAAGACACCCAGAGCUCAGAAAUUCAAAGGUCAGAAGCAGGCCAAGGCACCCAGGGCAGUGCAGCUCAUGUGGAGACUGGUUGCUAGGAAACUGGAAGAGGCUCAGAGAGGAAACUACAAACAGAAUUAUGGAGCUUUUCCUAUCCCCUUCAGUGUCCUUGGAGUGGAUGCAUACUAGCUGUGACAAGUCGUAGCUGAGAAUUCUGUGUUUUAGCUCCAUUUUCUCGAGUUGCACACUAUUUACUGGAUCUGGCCUUUUGUGUAAAGGGAAUAGCGUUUCUUCAACUCCUUCAAAUCCUGCUGCUGAAGAACUGGUCACUCUGUAAAAUCUCAGAGUAUUUUGAAUAUAUACUAAGACCCUGCAGUGAACUCUCUGUGGAUGCAACCUGAGCAGACCCCCAUUGACUUCAGUAGAGUUGCAUGAAGACAAGGAUUCACCUGAAUGGAAAGUACUAAAAGAUGCUCUAGCCUGAACAAAGAAAAUUAUUAUGAGGUGCAAGGUUACUUCCCAAAAAGUCAAGCUAAAGCUUAUCAGAUUGGCAAAGGAUUACUUCAGUUACAGCCAUACAGAAGCACCUGAAUCAUUCUCAUGAUCAAGAUAUGAAGCCAAACUAUCAAGUUACUCCUGUUGUAUAUAUGGCCGUGAAAACAGAACUUAACCUUAGGCACAGUUAUUUGUCUGCAUUUCAUGUUGUUUUUUUUAACUUUUAUGAAUGCCUGAAAUCUUUCCCCAUGUGGCUAACACUCUGUUGGUUCCAUGCCAGAUAAGAAGCCCCAGUUUUGCUUUAUCACUUGAAAAAACAUUGAGACGAAAAAACAGCCUAUUCUCAAGAGAUGACAGCCUUCCACAUUUAUGCCAAGAAGAUUAAAGCUAGCAUGCUUCUGAUGACUAAGGAGAGAUUUUGGACAAUGCUUUCCAGAGGGAAUGUGCAUGAUAAAAUGCUCACUCAAGAACACUAUAAAUGAACAUGCAAUUGAAUAUAUGAAUAGGUGAAAAGACAAUGAUUUCAGAAGCUUAAUGCAUUGAGCAGUAGUGAUUGUGUGAGUAAGCCACUUACAGACUGCACUUGCAAGCAUUUACCUGUCUACUUUGAAGGCAGAAAGAUGUGACGCCUUUUUUACUCUAGUAUGGAAGAAAUGAAAGCGUAAACAAGGAAAGUCUUUAUAUAUCCCUAUAUAUUUUCUUCAAAAUAAUGUCUAUCAUUCUUUGCAACUUUGCAAUUUAAAUCUUACUUUGCAAACAGUGAACAAAAAAAUCUUUUCCAUUUCACCUAAAGAACACUGACAUUCCCCCCCCACCCCAAAAAACCUGACAAAUAAAUACCUGACAAAUAAACGUUUAGAACAAUGUGCAGAAUAGAAGCUAUUAAAAAGUCAACAAUAGGCCAAUUGUUCCGACGCAGUUAUG
This is a long non-coding RNA of Mauremys reevesii (Reeves's turtle), 1749 nucleotides long. RefSeq lists it as uncharacterized. The record is from RefSeq and is a predicted model, not a curated record. The transcript has 8 exons. Lineage: Eukaryota; Metazoa; Chordata; Testudines; Geoemydidae.